Eptesicus fuscus (big brown bat) is the source of this 133-nucleotide small nucleolar RNA. RefSeq annotates it as small nucleolar RNA SNORA71. NCBI's taxonomy places the organism in Eukaryota, Metazoa, Chordata, Mammalia, Chiroptera, Vespertilionidae. The record is from RefSeq and is a predicted model, not a curated record. The transcript has a single exon.
CCCUGCAUUCGAAAGUGAUGGUGGGCUGCCCGCGCCCUGGUCAUUGAUAGUGCAGGGAGAGCAGCUGCUGGAAGCAUUUCCCCGCGUUUGGAGGGUGCACCCCAUCCCUUGCAAACCCUGGAGCUUUCACACA